Heterocephalus glaber (naked mole-rat) is the source of this 94-nucleotide small nuclear RNA. The record is from Ensembl. NCBI's taxonomy places the organism in Eukaryota, Metazoa, Chordata, Mammalia, Rodentia, Bathyergidae.
GUGCUCACUUCAGCAGCACAUAUACUAAAAUCGGAACGAUACAGAGAAGAUUAGCAAGGAUGACACGCAAAUUCGUGAAGCGUUCCAUUUUUUU